CUUGCCUUCUUCCAAAGAAAAGAAAAUCUCCAUGACUGCCCCCACUUGCGUUGAAGGCUAUAGAAUGCAGUGCAUCUGCCCUCAAAAUCUCGAGUGCUCCGCAGGCACCGACUCAGCACAGCCCAAAUAAAUAUAGGGACAAUAAACCAACCCCAACCAAAUUAUCAGCAUCACAGGUCUUCUUUAUCUCUGAUUCUUUAGAAGGGAGGCAUUACGUUUAAACCACCCUUCUCCUCUCCACACCUCUUUCUUCCCUUAUUCUUUGGCCUCCUGCUCUCCUUAAAAAAAAUAAACUAAAAAAAAGGGAGCCUCAGAUAUCACAUGUGCUGAUCUCACAUGUCAUUGUUCUCUGAAGUUUUGGGCUUUGGCUUGAAUAGUGGCAACUGGCAAGAACAAAUCCAACUGAGGUUGAAGGUUGAAGGUUGAAGGUUGAAAGUUGAAAGUCUAAUCUUCUCAACAGCAGUGGACGACCAGUUUCCUUGAGGACCUACUUUGCUUGCUUGUCUGCGGUAAGUUUCAGUUGGCCAAACCUUUGUCACAAAACAGCAUCACUAGUUGGGGAUACUGGGCCAUUGAAUUCAA
Molecule: non-coding RNA, 582 nt
Organism: Phoenix dactylifera (date palm)
Lineage: Eukaryota; Viridiplantae; Streptophyta; Magnoliopsida; Arecales; Arecaceae
Source: RefSeq, a predicted model, not a curated record